AAGGGGAAACUGAGAUUUAGAAAGAUUAGAGAACUUACCAAGAACAUGUGGAUAAGCCCAUGUGUCACUGGGAUUUGAAAUUCCAGUCUGUCAAAAUCUGACAUCUAAAGACUUCUCCACCACACAGCACUGAGGUAGCCUGUGUGUGGUUUUCUUGUGCCCAAAUGCCUCUAACUUUAUCUGAAGUUCCCAUAAACUAUAAGGACAGGAAUAAAGCCUCCAUUAUGCUCCUGGUCAGAUGCAGCUCAGUGUUGAUCUAAAUGGGCCUGUAGCCCUUUAAUGCUAGCUCCUUAUUGAAUCAACGUUCAGUUAGGAUGAACUGCAGUGUGACAUGCUCUGGGUUAAAACUAAGACUGAGGGGGUAGAACACAAAGUAAAUGCCUGAACUUGUAGACAGUUGUAUACAACUCUGCAGAAAAUCACCCAUUGCUGGAGGGCAGUGGGAGACCCCAGUCUAGUGCCUCUUCCAUUGCCUCAUCCUAAAUGUACCCAAUAUCCUCCCGAGGGAGAGUUCUGGCUCUACCCACAGAAUUUCAAGAACACCCUUGGAGAAGGUCAGCAGUCAAGAUCAGCAGGAUGACAAGGGUCGGACCCUGGACUCAGACACAUAUACAGAAGUCUGCCUAACUCCAAGGGGAAGAGCACCCCCAGGUCAUCUCUGGGUGCUAAAGGGCUGCAGAGGGGCCCAGAGACUGAGGCAGAUGUCUCACGCAAGGGGAGCUCUGACCUCCUCCACAUUCUGCAAAGUGCAAUAGGAAGUGAGGUGCUCCCAGGACUAUGACCAAUUAGUCCUCUUCCCACCAGACAGGGAUAACUGGGUCUGGUUCUAGUUCUACCCAAAUGCACUUCAGAAGUAGGGUUUUUUCCCUGAAGAUUGCCUAUUCCUGUCUUUUCCCUCCCUUGCAUGUGGUGAGGAGAAAUAAUAUAUGUGCGAUGCUUUGAGCUCCUUGAGAAAGCAGCACUCUUUAAGUGCAAGAUAUUAAUAAUAGCAAUAUUUCUGUUACCACGAAGAAAGGCUGAGUCCAUCUUUCACGUGUCCUUUUAAGUCAUUUUCCCUGCGGCUGCCUCUUCUGGUAAAAUGGUUCUGAAGGAGCCAUACAAAUCUCUAGUUUUAAAAUACUCAUUGGGGAAAACACUAGUUGGUCUUCAUAUUAUCUGGAAAGCGAAGAUUCCGAUGUUUGGUUUCUUGGUUGGUCAAGAAUGGGAGCGUGGUCAACCCCCAGGUAACAGAGCGAAGAAAGAGGCAAGUGGUGGGGAAAACAGAAAUCCAUGGAAGCCCUGCCCACCAUGGUCAGAACUCCCGGCUCUCUCCCUGCAGAACAAUGUGGCUGAGUGACAAGAAAUUCCUUUCUUGGGGCUGUGAAACACAAAAGUAGUCUUGCCUUAAGAAAACAGAGCAAGGUGCCUGCAGCCAGGCAGCCAACAGCCUCACUCUAUGAGAAACGGACCUGGCUGAGAUGACUAUUUGCAACCUUGGCAAAACACCAUGAUGUUGAUGAUGAUGAUAAUAAUGAUAGCCACCAUUUACCAAAAGUCCAGAGACUGAGCUGCACUCCUUAUAUUCCUUGUCUUGUGUUCUCUACUCCCCGAAACAUGGUUGAUACUAUUAUCUUUAAAACUCAGAGACGUUUAACAUCUUGCCUAAUAUCACAGAGCAACGAUUUAAAAGUUGAAGUUCAAGCUGAAAAUCAUAUGCUGUGGCUACUUAAAAGAAGAAAAAAGUAGGGCCUGUUCCUUCCCACCCCUCACCCCACCUCCUCUCCAUCCAUUCAAAUGCAUUUGGUGCUUUUUGUGUCUGUGUAAGACACUAUCAGGUCCUGGGAAUACAGUGAUGAAUAAAUAAAUGUCUCCAUCCUGGCGCAGCAGGAACACACUCCACAUGAUAAUACAGGGGGGCUGGGAGCAGAGGAGAGAGGUCUGUUCCCUGCUUUGCUGCUGGAAUAAGCACCUGCAGCCUGGGCUGUAAGCCUAUAUGGUUUCCCCACCUUUAGCCUCUAUGCCUGGGUUCCCUCUCCUUCCAAAGCCUUCCUUCCUUAACAGAAUGCAAACAUUUCAUAAAUAAAACUGAAGAACAGGGUGGAGCCUUGGGCAGUAAAGAGCAUAGAUUUCAGUGUAAAGUACAGCUGAGUGUUAACUCUGUAUUUCCCACCACUUCUGUGUGAGCAUGAAUAAGUCAUAGCCUCACUUUCUGAGCCUUAGUCACUCAUAUUUUAAAUGGAGCUAACACUACGUGUGGUGUGAGAGCGUUAAAUGAGCUAUUGCAUUUAAAGGACCCAUCAUAGGCCUUGGUGGCUCUAAGACCCUCAAUUGUGGUAAAUGCUCUUUCUGUUGUAAAAUCCCAGAAGAAUGUUCACAAACAGCUAGGCUUUACGAGUAAAACCUACUGGAGACUGGUGACUGGUGAGGUGCCAGCACAGCCAUUCUGAAACCUGUGAAAUCUGUAAUAUAACCUCCUUCCAGCAUCCACACUUGUCCAAGAAGUCCUCUGCAGAGAAAGAUUGCUAAUAAAAUGGGAACAAAAGAAAUCACAAGGAAACCAUCCAUUCAGUAACCAAAUAAAGCCAGUGCAAAACCACCCACCGCCCUCUAGCACAAGAGGCUGGCAGGCCACCAGGCAGGGGGCCGCGGGCAGCUAGAGAGCCCCCUUAUUAAACAGAGCUCUGAAGAGAGGGUCACCAUUCACUAGCUGCAGCCCCCAGGGGGCUCAGGAUUGUCCACCCUUUGCUAACAAACACUCACAUCCUCAAUAGAGGAUGGACACAGCACUGGGCAUAAUGAGGUGCCUUCCAAUUUACGCCAGUGCUGGGCCUUGUUCUGAGUAAACUAAGAAUGAAUUUGGUAUUUUGCCUUAAUUAAGGAAAACAAGUCUAAAUGUGAAAGAGCCUCCAGGUUUCUCAUGCUACUGGCAAGUGUAUCUGGUUUUACUCUUUCACACCAACUACAUACUCUAUUUUUCUUUCCUUGCUGAAGGAUGUCAUUGUGAGGCAGACCAAAUAUGACAAUUUAAAUGUGUACCCCGGGGCUUAAGUAUCUCAGCGCCAGAAAUUCUAGUGAUCCUGGCUGAUACAGACAGUCUGACCCCCAGCUGCAGGCCUGGGAAAAGGAAACUGUGCUGCCUAAACAGAAAACAAAUAAGACUUUUUUUUUUUUUUUUUUUUUUGGUAAAGGGUGCUGUCAAGUGUCUUUUUUAUUUAUUUUGCCUUUUGUCUCACUCAAUCAGAAGUCUGAAUAUGAAAAUUCUUUCUUGCUGUUCUUGGUCUAUUUUCCUUCUCUUACUAAAAAUUUUCUUAACUUCAUCUUUAAAAACAAGAUAUCUAAACAAGUACAGUUAAUUACUUUAAUGUAGAGCUUUAAAACAACUGAUUAAAAAGAAAUAGAGCAAACUGGCAUAAGUACUGGCACAAAUAGUAGCAAUUUAGCAAGUACCACAAAUACACCAGAGAUGCUACAGCCAGUCCCUAGAUAUCAAUGGUAUGAAUGGCAAUUCUUCCUUACUGCAGGAUCUGAUUUGGUUUUGGCAUUUACUCCUUCCUCCUAUGAGUCACAGGUACAUCCUGAAUUGUUCAAGCCAGUGAUGGAGAUAUCAUUUUUCUUGGUUUAGAGGUGGGCAUGGAUGCUGGUCAAUGAAACGUAAGAAGGCCCACUGGGAGUCUUCAAGGAAUGGUUUUAAAAAGAACACGCCCAAGAGCUACCCUACUUUGUAGCAUUUUAUGUAAGGUAAUAUUUUUUCCCUUAUUCUUUAAGCCUGUUGAGUUGGAGAUUUCUUAUUUGUCACGGAAAACAUUCAAACUGAUAAAUGGUAACUGCUUGACUCAUUUUAUAAUCUACUCGAUGGAAAAUGCUGUCAGAAUCAAUUUAACACCAUCAUGAGGAAAUUUGUGUCGCAGUCACCUGUUGCUACUGCUCAGCAUCCAUUCUCCUUGCUUAGUAGAGCUUUUCAGAGAGUCAGUGCUUCUAAGACUUGAAUUUGCAGAUGAGUCAUGGUGUUGGGGGGGAGAUCUUGUGAAAACACAGAUUCCAAUUUUGUAGGUGGAGGAUGCAGUCUGAGACUCUGCAUUUCUCCCUGGUGGUGUUGAUGUUGCUGCUCCCUGCACUACUCUGCAUCGAAAGGAUCUGUAUUUCCAUUGGGAAAACCAAUCGUCUCCUAUAUGUUAUAAUAUUUAACUGAAAUUAGUUUAAGCUAGUAAGAGAAGUCUCUUUCUGGACUAUGGUUAUUGGUUCAUAGAUGUGCAUGUCACCCAAUAUGAGCCAAUGAGGUGUGAGAUGUUGAUAAAGAAACUUUUUUUUUUUGCUUUUUAGGGCCACACUCAUGGCAUAUGGAGUUUCCCAGGCUAGGUAGAAUUGGAGCUGUAGCUGCCGGCCUACACCACAGCCAUAGCAACGCUGGAUCCGAGCCUCGUCUGCGACCUACACCACUCACGGCAAUGCCAGAUCCUUAGCCCACUAAGUGAAGCCAGGGAUUGAACCCUCAACCUCAUGGUUCCUAUCUGGUUUCAUUUCCGCUGUGCCACAUAGGAACUCCAAAGAAGCUUUUUCACUCUCUAAGAAAGCUAGUGGAAGAGUGUCUUUGGAUGACAUGAUACAAGGACGUGGUGGUUGGAAUUCCAUAUCUCUGCUGCCCAGUGCAGGAGUGGAGACACAUGGAGAUGAAGCCCACACACUGAAGAGGCAGAGCUGAGGGAACAACAGCCAUAUGGAGCCCCAGUGGAUAAGGCUGUAAACCUUUGGGCCAAGUCCCACCUACGUUAGAGACAACUGGAUAUUCCAGGGCUGUGAUGCAGUAAAAUCCUUUUUCCUUUUGCCUAAAGAGUAUUUGCCUGGGUUUUCUAUUGCUUGAAAUUAAAGUAGUCUUAAGUAAUGCCAUUAGAAUCAAGGCUUUAGAUUAGAGUAGGGGUAGGAAAACUAUAGUCAGAAAUCUGUUUUUGCAUAGUUGUGAAGCAAAGAAUGGUUUCACCUCUUUAAAGAAUUAUAAAAGUGGAGUUCCCAUCGUGGUGCAGUGGUUAACGAAUCCGACUAGGAACCAUGAGGUUGUGGGUUCGAUCCCUGCCCUUGCUCAGUGGGUUAACGAUCCGGCGUUGCCGUGAGCUGUGGUGUAGGUUGCAGACGUGGCUCGGAUCCCGAGUUGCUGUGGCUCUGGCGUAGGCCGGUGGCUACAGCUCCGAUUCAACCCCUAGCCUGGGAACCUCCAUAUGCCGCGGGAGCGGCCCAAGAAAUAGCAACAAUAACAACAACAA
This 5234-nucleotide long non-coding RNA is filed under the name Sus scrofa (pig). RNAcentral's name for it is "lncRNA (ENSSSCG00000062173.1, ENSSSCG00130036500.1)". Lineage: Eukaryota; Metazoa; Chordata; Mammalia; Artiodactyla; Suidae. The record is from RNAcentral.